This 818-nucleotide ribosomal RNA is filed under the name uncultured bacterium. RNAcentral describes it as "bacterial SSU rRNA". It matches the Rfam family "Bacterial small subunit ribosomal RNA", at positions 57 to 868 of the family's 1533-position model. The record is from RNAcentral.
GCAGUCGAGGGGCAGCAUAAGAUCAGCUUGCUGAUUUGGUGGCGACCGGCGCACGGGUGCGUAACGCGUAUGCAAUCUACCUUGUACAGAGGGAUAGCCCAGAGAAAUUUGGAUUAAUACCUCAUAGCAUCCUGAAGAGGCAUCUUUUUGGGAUUAAAGUUUCGGCGGUACAAGAUGAGCAUGCGUCCUAUUAGCUAGAUGGUAAGGUAACGGCUUACCAUGGCUACGAUAGGUAGGGGUUCUGAGAGGAUGAUCCCCCACACUGGUACUGAGACACGGACCAGACUCCUACGGGAGGCAGCAGUGAGGAAUAUUGGUCAAUGGACGCAAGUCUGAACCAGCCAUGCCGCGUGCAGGAAGACGGCCCUCUGGGUUGUAAACUGCUUUUAUUUGGGAAGAAACCCCCUGUCGUGCACAGGGGCUGACAGUACCAAAGGAAUAAGCACCGGCUAACUCCGUGCCAGCAGCCGCGGUAAUACGGAGGGUGCAAGCGUUAUCCGGAAUCAUUGGGUUUAAAGGGUCCGCAGGCGGGCUAGUAAGUCAGUGGUGAAAUCCCUCAGCUUAACUGAGGAACUGCCAUUGAUACUGCUAGUCUUGAAUUCGGUCGAAGUGGGCGGAAUGUGUCAUGUAGCGGUGAAAUGCAUAGAUAUGACACAGAACACCGAUAGCGAAGGCAGCUCACUGGGCCUGAAUUGACGCUCAGGGACGAAAGCGUGGGGAGUAGACAGGAUUAGAUAUCCUGGUAGUCCACGCCGUAAACGAUGAUUACUCGAUAUUGGCGAUAUACGGUCAGUGUCUAAGCGAAAGUGAUAAGUAAU